UGUAAUCGUUAAGUAAGUUUUGUAAUCAAUAUUUCAAAAAAUGUGGUUAGUGAUUGUAACAAUUAUUGAACAAAGCCAAAAGGAACGUGAUAAGCUAACUACCUAGAUAAAGAUGUAUUGUUGGAAUUUUCUAAUGACGAACCUACGGAAUUUCAAAUACCUGGAAUGAAUAAUGACUAAUCGACACGUGCCUGUACUACUUGCUCUGACUGUAUUACUUGCACAUCAAAAAGUUUUAGCAUCUACUACUGCAAAAUAUCCAAUAAC
This is a long non-coding RNA of Maniola jurtina (meadow brown), 267 nucleotides long. RefSeq lists it as uncharacterized. The record is from RefSeq and is a predicted model, not a curated record. The transcript has 3 exons. NCBI's taxonomy places the organism in Eukaryota, Metazoa, Arthropoda, Insecta, Lepidoptera, Nymphalidae.